Gasterosteus aculeatus aculeatus (three-spined stickleback) is the source of this 551-nucleotide long non-coding RNA. The record is from Ensembl. NCBI's taxonomy places the organism in Eukaryota, Metazoa, Chordata, Actinopteri, Perciformes, Gasterosteidae.
CUUCUUUAUAUUCUAUGAGAAUAAUCCCUGUUUGACUUCACAGUAGUUGUGAUAACAAGAACAUCUCGGCUGAGGAUCCGCUGGUUUGCACAGAGUGGCUCAUAGUGCUGUCUCAUGCUUACUGGAACCAACCUAGAACACUGGGAUCCUACAGGCGCUGAAUGAGAACUGGCUCUGCUGCAACACGCCUCUUCACUACACCGCCCAGAGGCUGCUGGAAUAGAACCAGGAGGUACCCGGGUCAGUCCAGGACCACAGUUUCUUUCUAUGGCGUCUGAAGGAGCUCGGGGCAAAAGGACCAAUCUGGUGUCAUCCAAGGUCCAGUGGAGCCAAGUAGACGCUCUUGAGUUCAUUACAGAAAGUAGCAGCCAGGACAGCGUCAGGAAAUGGCUCCUCACCACUGUGACUGAAGCGGAUGCAAAGCGGGUGGUGGUGUGUGGAGCUGCAGAGCCUCUGAAGAGGAACUCCGGCAGUGACGAUGACUUGGCGUUGGGUGUAGAAGCGUCUCUAUAUGGUAACCAGAGGACGAGGACGGUCCAGGAGUUUCUGCG